UCGGGAAUUUUGGGCAAUGGGCGAAAGCCUGAUCCAGCCAUGCCGCGUGAGUGACGAAGGCCUUAGGGUUGUAAAACUCUUUCGUCGGGGACGAUAAUGACGGUACCCGCAGAAUAAGCUCCGGCUAACUUCGUGCCAGCAGCCGCGGUAAUACGAAGGGAGCUAGCGUUGUUCGGAAUCACUGGGCGUAAAGCGCACGUAGGCGGAUUAUUAAGUCAGGGGUGAAAUCCCGGGGCUCAACCUCGGAACUGCCUCUGAUACUGAUAGUCUCGAGUCCGGAAGAGGUGGGUGGAAUUCCUAGUGUAGAGGUGAAAUUCGUAGAUAUUAGGAAGAACACCGGUGGCGAAGGCGGCCCACUGGUCCGGUACUGACGCUGAGGUGCGAAAGCGUGGGGAGCAAACAGGAUUAGAUACCCACGUAGUCCCUGAGCGGGCUGGCAAGGCGCAU
This 447-nucleotide ribosomal RNA is filed under the name uncultured bacterium. Its description in RNAcentral is "bacterial SSU rRNA". It matches the Rfam family "Bacterial small subunit ribosomal RNA", at positions 355 to 825 of the family's 1533-position model. The record is from RNAcentral.